AAACCGCAUGCAGGUAAACGGGUGGCGUCAAGCUGCAAGCCCAGAGGAUUCAGCUGGCUAGGAUGUUGUGUAUGCGCUUGCGCAUCUAUCAGUCAGAAUAAGAUGUGAUAGUCCACUGGUAAACGGUGGGCCCGGCCGCAAGGUUGGGAUAUGUGUACCGGGCGGAAGCCGGAGCAUGCUAUUCGUCUGUUGGGCUGUCUAGUCAGUGCACUUUCUCUGUGGUGAACACCACGACCGGUGGAAUUGCCAGUCUGCUGUAGUCAAGUCGUAUUCAGUCGGUUCUUGUAGCCAACUGGGUGCGAUCACAGGCAAACUCAGUAAACGGCGUAGGGGUGUUUCGGCAUCCUUGCGUGUUAUCGGCUGCUGGUUGUCAACGGGCCUGCCUGAUGAUUGUUGUAACCGUCAUUGGGUGGUCUGGUGGACUAUGGUGGUAAGAAUAACUGUGCAAGGCAUCGGAGUUCUCGGCCUCAAAUGCAUCCUGCAUACACGUUACAAGUGGAGUGGGGUGCCAUUGCAGCCUGCCUGUUGUUGGGUCUGAUUGUCGUGUCGCCUGCGCAAAGUGGGCCCGGCAGUGGCCUGAUGCGGGAUGGGUUGUGGAUGGUGCUUCCUGUGUAGGGUGCGGUGGGUCAAAUA
This 633-nucleotide ribosomal RNA is filed under the name Clistobothrium cf. montaukensis PB-2001. RNAcentral describes it as "partial 28S large subunit ribosomal RNA". The record is from RNAcentral. Lineage: Eukaryota; Metazoa; Platyhelminthes; Cestoda; Phyllobothriidea; Phyllobothriidae.